GGGAGUAUAGUGCAGUGGUAGAGCAUAUAUUUGGUGCACAUGAGGUCCUGGGUUCAAUCCCCAGUGCCUCUG
Molecule: transfer RNA, 72 nt
Filed under: Camelus bactrianus (Bactrian camel)
Lineage: Eukaryota; Metazoa; Chordata; Mammalia; Artiodactyla; Camelidae
Also listed under: 2 other names
Rfam family: tRNA
About the family: Transfer RNA (tRNA) molecules are approximately 80 nucleotides in length. Their secondary structure includes four short double-helical elements and three loops (D, anti-codon, and T loops).
Source: Rfam by way of RNAcentral